GCCCUGGUAGCUCAAUUGGUUAGAGCGUCGGACUUUUACAGCAUACCUACAUAUGAUGGAGUCAUCCGAAGGCUGCGGGUUCGACCCCCGCCUGGGGCG
Xylaria scruposa is the source of this 99-nucleotide non-coding RNA. The record is from the annotation of a GenBank genome assembly. NCBI's taxonomy places the organism in Eukaryota, Fungi, Ascomycota, Sordariomycetes, Xylariales, Xylariaceae.